RNAcentral lists this non-coding RNA (1872 nucleotides) under Pedobacter nyackensis. Its description in RNAcentral is "Bacterial large subunit ribosomal RNA". It matches the Rfam family "Bacterial large subunit ribosomal RNA", at positions 1 to 1896 of the family's 2925-position model. The record is from Rfam by way of RNAcentral. Lineage: Bacteria; Pseudomonadati; Bacteroidota; Sphingobacteriia; Sphingobacteriales; Sphingobacteriaceae.
AAGAAAGUAAUUAAGAGCACACAGGGGAUGCCUUGGCUCUCAGAGGCGAUGAAAGACGUGAUAAGCUGCGAUAAGCUUCGGGGAUUAGCAAAUAUGAAUUGAUCCGAAGAUUUCUGAAUGGGGAAACCUGGCUAGUUGAAGACUAGUCGUACAAUGUACGCAAACCUGCCGAACUGAAACAUCUAAGUAAGCAGAGGAAGAGAAAAUAAUAAUGAUUUCCUAAGUAGUGGCGAGCGAACGGGAAAGAGCCCAAACCAUUCUUGUUACGGCAAGUAUGGGGUUGUAGGACUACGAUAUGAUUAUAAUGCAAUGAAGUGGAACAGGAUGGGAAGCCUGGCAAUAUAGAGUGAGAGCCUCGUACACGUAAGUACCAUUAGUCUAGUAGUAUCCUGAGUACCGCGAGGUCGGAGACGCCUUGUGGGAAUCUGCCGGCACCAUCCGGUAAGGCUAAAUACUCCUGAGAGACCGAUAGUGAACCAGUACCGUGAGGGAAAGGUGAAAAGAACCCCGAACAGGGGAGUGAAAUAGAACCUGAAACUGUGUGCUUACAAGCGGUCGGAGCGUCCAGGUGGCGUGACGGCGUGCCUUUUGCAUAAUGAGCCUACGAGUUACUCUUCUCUGGCAAGGUUAAGUGUUUAAGACACGGAUCCGAAGCGAAAGCGAGUCUGAAUAGGGCGUAUAGUCAGGGGAGGUAGACGCGAAACCUUGUGAUCUACCCAUGGACAGGUUGAAGGUGCGGUAACACGUACUGGAGGACCGAACCGAUAAACGUUGAAAAGUUUCCGGAUGAUCUGUGGGUAGGGGUGAAAGGCUAAUCAAACUGGGAAAUAGCUCGUACUCCCCGAAAUGUUUUUAGGAACAGCGUCGUGGUUUAGUUAAAUAGAGGUAGAGCUACUGAUUGGGUGCGGGGGAGUCAAAUCCUACCAAAUCCAGACAAACUCCGAAUGCUAUUUAAUAUACACGGCAGUGAGGCGCGGGGUGCUAAGGUCACGCGCCGAGAGGGAAAGAACCCAGACCAUCAGCUAAGGUCCCCAAGUUACAGUUAAGUUGAACUAACGAGGUCCGAUUGCAUAGACAGCUAGGAUGUUGGCUUGGAAGCAGCCAUUCAUUUAAAGAGUGCGUAACAGCUCACUAGUCGAGCGAUCGGGCAUGGAUAAUAAACGGGCAUAAAAUUGUACACCGAAGCUAUGGGUAAUAUUAAUAUUACGGUAGGGGAGCAUUCCAGCGGCAGCGAAGGUAUGACGUAAGUUGUGCUGGAGCUUCUGGAAAAGCAAAUGUAGGCAUAAGUAACGAUAAGGCAGGCGAGAAACCUGCCCGCCGAAAGGAUAAGGUUUCCUGAUCAACGCUAAUCGGAUCAGGGUUAGUCGGGGCCUAAGGAGAACCCGAAGGGGAUAUUCGAUGGACAACGGAUUAAUAUUUCCGUACUUUUUAUAACUGCGAUGUGGGGACGGAGUAGUGACACUGCCGCGAUCUGACGGAAUAGAUCGUUGAAGGCUGUAGGUAUAGGACUGGUAGGCAAAUCCGCCGGUCUUGCUGAACGCUGAUAGUACCGCAAACCUUCGGGGGCGUGGAUAGUGCAGGUAAUCAGACUUCCAAGAAAAACCGCUAAGCUUCAGGUUAUAAAAACCCGUACCGCAAACCGACACAGGUAUCCGGGAAGAGAAUUCUAAGGCGCUCGAGUGAAUCAUGGCUAAGGAACUCGGCAAAAUGGCCCUGUAACUUCGGGAGAAGGGGCGCUGGUAGCAAUAUCAGCCGCAGUGAAAAGGCCCAGGCGACUGUUUAACAAAAACACAUGGCUUUGCAAAAUCGAAAGAUGAAGUAUAAGGCCUGACACCUGCCCGGUGCUGGAAGGUUAAGAGGGGAUGUCAUCCG